GUCGCUUUGGCGGUACAUAUACUAAAAUUGGAACGAUACAGAGAAGAUUAGCAUGGCUCCUGCGCAAGGAUGACACGAAAUAUAAAAAUAAAGAAGAAGUGGUC
Molecule: small nuclear RNA, 104 nt
Organism: Schistocerca cancellata (South American locust)
Lineage: Eukaryota; Metazoa; Arthropoda; Insecta; Orthoptera; Acrididae
Source: RefSeq, a predicted model, not a curated record